This 4202-nucleotide long non-coding RNA is filed under the name Lynx pardinus (Iberian lynx). The stretch from base 3496 to 3584 matches the Rfam family "Small nucleolar RNA SNORD87". Lineage: Eukaryota; Metazoa; Chordata; Mammalia; Carnivora; Felidae. The record is from RNAcentral.
GGCCCGGAGCCCCAAAAGCCCAACGGAAGAAGCUGUGCUUUCUUUUCCGCGCGGCUGUCGACGGAGGAGGGCUUGCGAAGCUUGGUUGGUCAUGCGGACCGGGCGGCAGCGCCAGCGGACCAGUCGCUGGGUCCUUCGAGGUGGGAGUCCUUGCGGUCUUAGUUCAACCUGUUACUACCGGGAACCCGACUCGUUGCCGGAACCCAGGCCCGCCUCUGGUCUCUGCCCUGGGGCCCCCGUGUAAAGGGCCUCCGACCUUGCCGAGCACAGCCGAGUAAGCGGCAUGGCCGCGAGGUCGGCCCGGGAGGCAGCCUUCCCCUUCUGCCACCCAGAGCGUCCUGGGUUAUUGGCUCUGUCGCAUUUUUUAGUAACCAGCCGCGAGUGUCUGCUGACCCUUUUUUUAAGUAAACGCCCGUUUCGACUGUUCUAAAGUCAAAAAUUAAUAAAGGGCCUUCUCAGAUUGAGGUGGUUUCGAGGCGGCUGGAAGGUAUGGCGCGUGGUUUUGGUGUACGCCGGGGCCUCCUUCGGAGCAAUUUUGUAUCCCCAGCAAAGCCUUGUGUGCAGCCUAGACGGUUUUAGGGUCCCUUAGUGGGCGACUUAUUCGUAGUACGCAAGCAUUUUAUAAAAGGGGAAAGGCAUUAUCUCUAGGAUAUUAAAGACAACCUUUACUUAACUGUAGUUUGUGAUUGGCUUUUAAAAUUGUUAUCAGUUUAGUAACAGUUCUGGUAGCGACUUAGGACAGUGACUUGUCGCAUGUGUUUGUGAAUCUUCCUUUGUAAAUAUCUUCUAAAAACGUGAUGUUUUGAAGUUGGGAGAACAUUAUGUACUGUUUAGAACCUCCCUAAGCCAUAAAUGCCUGCUCUACCCUUAGAUGCUUGCAUUUAUAUAGAGAUGUGUAUUUCUGGACAUAAUACUGAAGAAACUGGUCAACAGCUGGGAGGCUGGAAGAACGUGUUGCCUAUUCAAAAACAAGAUAUUGGGGCGCCUGGCUGGCUCAGUUGGAGGAUCUUGGGGUGGGGGUUGUCAGUUUGAGCUCCACUUUGGAUAUAGAUAUUACUUAAAUAAAUACUUUAAAAUGGUAUUAAUACCUCAUCGAUGAAACGGUAUAAUCCUGUGUCGGGCUUUUUUGUUGUUACCUCCUCCCAAAUAUGUUGCUGUCACCAGGGCAUUUGAUGGCUAAAAAUAGUUUACAUUUGGUAUUAGUCAUCUUUAUUUUGAGGCAUAAGUGGCAUCAAUCCUACUUUUAUUGCUAAAUACUGGGGGUUUUAAAACCAAAUGUUUGGUAAAAAUACUGAUAACAGGUAAAUCCUGAAGCAUAAUAAAUACGGAGCCCACCACACCAUUUAACAACUGUGAUUUUUCUCAUUACUCUAGCAUCUAAUUCUUUACCUAUCACAUAACUCCUGCCUUCAACCUAUCUUCAUAACUCCUGAGGUGCCUCUCAUCUGGGAUUUUGUAUCCUGGCUCUUAGCUUUUUGAGCUGAGUGGGAAGGAUAGCAGAUUUAUUUAUUUAUUUAUUUUUAUUUUUUUAAUAUUUUUUUUCAAUAUAUGAAAUUUAUUGUCAAAUUGGUUUUCAUGCAACACCCAGUGCUCAUCCCAAAAGGUGCCCUCCUCAAUACCCAUCACCCACCCCCAUCAACCCUCAGUUUAUUCUCAGUUUUUAAGAGUCUCUUAUGCUUUGGCUCUCUUCCACUCUAACCUCUUUUUUUUUCCUUCCCCUCCCCCAUGGGUUUCUUAAGUUUCUCAGGAUCCACAUAAGAGUGAAACCAUAUGGUAUCUGUCUUUCUCUGUAUGGCUUAUUUCACUUAGCAUCACACUCUCCAGUUCCAUCCACGUUGCUACAAAGGGCCAUAUUUCAUUCUUUCUCAUUGCCACGUAGUACUCCAUUGUGUAUAUAAACCACAAUUUCUUUACCCAUUCAUCAGGUGAUGGACAUUUAGGCUCUUUCCAUAAUUUGGCUAUUGUUGAGAGUGCUGCUAUAAACAUUGGGGUACAAGUGCCCUUAUGCAUCAGUACUCCUGUAUCCCUUGGGUAAAUUCCUAGCAGUGCUAUUGCUGGAUAAUAGGGUAGGUCUAUUUUUAAUUUUUUGAGGAACCUCCACACUGUUUUCCAGAGUGGCUGCACCAAUUUGCAUUCCCACCAACAGUGCAAGAGGGUUCCCAUUUCUCCACGUCCUCAAAAAUAUGGAACGCUUCACGAAUUUGCGUGUCAUCCUUGCACAGGGGCCAUGCUAAUCUUCUCUGUAUCGUUCCAAUUUUAGUAUAUGUGCUGCCGAAGCAGGCACAGCAGUUUUAUUACAAAUAUGUAUCACUAAACAUUCUUGUAGGAUUUACACAAAUGAGAUUAUGCAUAUAGUUGUCAGUAGUUCCCAUGAAUCUCAUUACACUGAAACUUUCCAAGUUGGUAUUAUUCAUAACUACUAGUUUGUGUUCCUAAUAUUGACGAUGUGAAAUUAUUUCCAGACUUGAAAAUGAUAAAUUGUUUUGCAGGGUACAACAUUUGAUGUGUCUUCAUAAAUCAUUUCCAGUAGCUGUCUGGUUCAAUGAUUUACCCUCCUGGGGUGCUGUAAGAGAUGAUCUGUGGCCCUGGCCGUUCUUUGCACUACCUAAGUGUGCUUUCAGGCGACCUGGGACUUAAUUCUACAAGACUGUCCAAUAAUGAUGUCAACAUAAUGUAUCUGCUCUAAAACUACAUUAGAUUUGCCAUUGUGAUGCUUUAGUUGGAGGUCUACACACUUGUUUUUAUACAUCUAACCUUUAACCUGACUCAUCUCAUCCUUGUCAAGCUCUGAGACAGAAAAGCAAUGGCUAGGUACUCAUUAGGACCAUCAUGUCCUAACAUCGAUACUGCCACAGUAAAGAACAUCCUAUAUAUAGCCACAAUUUUUCCUAUCCAUGCUAAUAAACCCAUUUCCAGCUUGGAAAGAUCAUUUAUAGAAUUAUUAGGGCCUAAACAGUCAAAAGUACUAAUCUGUUCAAGCCAUUACAGAGGUUCUAAAUUUUGGGGUUAUCCGUUUGGACUACCAAAAAAAGUAGAACUAAGCAGAAAGUACUUCAUUCCAUGAGAGAUGUGUUAAAUAACAAAAUUAUUCCAGUAUAUGGCCUCAAAUGUUAGUAGUUUUUAUAAAAAGUUAGAUGGGAGUCAGGAAGGUUGUAAGUAAAAUGUUUAUGGCUCCUGAUGAGAGUGAAAAAGUCUUACUGGACCAUUCCUGCAUAUAAGAUGCCAAACAGAUGGCAAGUACAAAUGAGAAUUCACAAUGAAAUAUUUUGAUUUCUAGGUACAACAGAGCCUAUGAGUUGAAGAUGAAUGAACGUUGUGAUGUUUUCCAAAAACAUCUGAGGAUGGCUGUGAUAAAACCACUAGGAGCGCAACUGCAUGUAAUGAGGUACCAAAACUUAAUGUUAAACACUGUGCUUUGUUAUGUAUUUAUGGUACUGUCUAUGAAAAGCAGUACCAAAAACAUUUAGUAGGUUUUUGACCUAGAUAGGUUUAGUAACUGGCACAAUGAUGACUUAAAUUACUUUUUGCCGUUUACCCAGCUGAGGGUUUCUUUGAAGAAAUAAUUUGAAGACUGAGAUGCCAGUUAUGUAUAUUGUUUAUGUGAAUUACUCAAGUAUAAUGCAAUUUUUCAUUAAAAUGGGUUAUAUGUUCUUUUCAGCAUGUAGGUAGCUGCAGAUGAAUGUCCAAGUCCAUAACUGUUGUGGUUAAAAAUUCUUCAUUGCCUCGGUAAGUAAUUCUGGCAAUCACAGCUAAUAAUAAUUCAAAAGUAUCUGAAACUCCAAAGGGUUAGGGCUAUAUCCUGUUAAAGUUGCCUGUGUGUGUGUUGUCAGAAGUCUGAUUCUCCUUUGAUUUUGACUAUGGAGUGAUUUUCAUUGUUGGUUUCUGAUUUUUUUCCCCAGAGGCAUGCAGUUGGAAGGAAAAAUGAAGAAUUGGUCAAGAAGACAUGAAUAAAUACUUUAUUUAACAUUGAUCACCUCACAAUAAGUUAUGUAGAGAAAUACAUGCUUGAAUACUUUUAACUGUUGGGCAGUAAAGUCUGCUAUCUUUAAAAUAUAUUGAGUGUUUACCAUAAUUACUAGUCAGAUUUGUUUUUAGCAUACUUUAAGAAAGUAUGUUCUUUAUCAAUAAAUAAGUAUUUGGAAUCUCCUAAACACCUUAACAAAUUAUCCCUUACAAAUAAAGAUUUCACCUGUGACCUACAU